AAGGCGAAGCUCCUGAUCGAAGCCCCAGUAAACGGCGGCCGUAACUAUAACGGUCCUAAGGUAGCGAAAUUCCUUGUCGGGUAAGUUCCGACCUGCACGAAUGGCGUAAUGAUGGCCAGGCUGUCUCCACCCGAGACUCAGUGAAAUUGAACUCGCUGUGAAGAUGCAGUGUACCCGCGGCAAGACGGAAAGACCCCGUGAACCUUUACUAUAGCUUGACACUGAACAUUGAGCCUUGAUGUGUAGGAUAGGUGGGAGGCUUUGAAGUGUGGACGCCAGUCUGCAUGGAGCCAACCUUGAAAUACCACCCUUUAACGUUUGAUGUUCUAACCUAGGCCCAUAAACUGGGUCGGGGACCGUGUCUGGUGGGUAGUUUGACUGGGGCGGUCUCCUCCUAAAGAGUAACGGAGGAGCACGAAGGUUGGCUAAGCAUGGUCGGACAUCAUGCGGUUAGUGCAAAGGCAUAAGCCAGCUUGACUGCGAGAGUGACGGCUCGAGCAGGUACGAAAGUAGGUCUUAGUGAUCCGGUGGUUCUGAAUGGAAGGGCCAUCGCUCAACGGAUAAAAGGUACUCCGGGGAUAACAGGCUGAUACCGCCCAAGAGUUCAUAUCGACGGCGGUGUUUGGCACCUCGAUGUCGGCUCAUCACAUCCUGGGGCUGAAGUAGGUCCCAAGGGUAUGGCUGUUCGCCAUUUAAAGUGGUACGCGAGCUGGGUUUAGAACGUCGUGAGACAGUUCGGUCCCUAUCUGCCGUGGGCGUUGGAAGAUUGAGAGGGGUUGCUCCUAGUACGAGAGGACCGGAGUGAACGCACCACUGGUGUUCGGGUUGUCAUGCCAAUGGCAUUGCCCGGUAGCUAAGUGCGGAAGAGAUAACCGCUGAAAGCAUCUAAGCGGGAAACUUGCCUCGAGAUGAGUCUUCCCUGUC
Molecule: ribosomal RNA, 924 nt
Filed under: Proteus mirabilis
Lineage: Bacteria; Pseudomonadati; Pseudomonadota; Gammaproteobacteria; Enterobacterales; Morganellaceae
Description: bacterial LSU rRNA
Rfam family: Bacterial large subunit ribosomal RNA
Source: RNAcentral